This 524-nucleotide ribosomal RNA is filed under the name uncultured Gammaproteobacteria bacterium. Its description in RNAcentral is "bacterial SSU rRNA". It matches the Rfam family "Bacterial small subunit ribosomal RNA", at positions 1 to 524 of the family's 1533-position model. Lineage: Bacteria; Pseudomonadati; Pseudomonadota; Gammaproteobacteria. The record is from RNAcentral.
UAGAGUUUGAUCAUGGCUCAGAUUGAACGCUGGCGGCAGGCUUAACACAUGCAAGUCGAGCGGGGGAGAUUGCUUCGGUAAUUGACCUAGCGGCGGACGGGUGAGUAAUACUUAGGAAUCUGCCUAUUAAUGGGGGACAACAUCUCGAAAGGGAUGCUAAUACCGCAUACGCCCUACGGGGGAAAGCAGGGGAUCACUUGUGACCUUGCGUUAAUAGAUGAGCCUAAGUCGGAUUAGCUAGUUGGUGGGGUAAAGGCCUACCAAGGCGACGAUCUGUAGCGGGUCUGAGAGGAUGAUCCGCCACACUGGGACUGAGACACGGCCCAGACUCCUACGGGAGGCAGCAGUGGGGAAUUUUGGACAAUGGGGGCAACCCUGAUCCAGCAAUGCCGCGUGAGUGAAGAAGGCCUUCGGGUUGUAAAGCUCUUUUGUCAGGGAAGAAACGGUAGUAGCGAAUAACUAUUACUAAUGACGGUACCUGAAGAAUAAGCACCGGCUAACUACGUGCCAGCAGCCGCGGUAAU